GAUGAACGCUGGCGGCGUGCCUAAUACAUGCAAGUCGAGCGAAUGGACGAGAAGCUUGCUUCUCUGAUGUUAGCAGCGGACGGGUGAGUAACACGUGGAUAACCUACCUAUAAGACUGGGAUAACUUCGGGAAACCGGAGCUAAUACCGGAUGAUAUUUUGAACCGCAUGGUUCAAAAGUGAAAGACGGUCUUGCUGUCACUUAUAGAUGGAUCCGCGCUGCAUUAGCUAGUUGGUAAGGUAACGGCUUACCAAGGCAACGAUGCAUAGCCGACCUGAGAGGGUGAUCGGCCACACUGGAACUGAGACACGGUCCAGACUCCUACGGGAGGCAGCAGUAGGGAAUCUUCCGCAAUGGGCGAAAGCCUGACGGAGCAACGCCGCGUGAGUGAUGAAGGUCUUCGGAUCGUAAAACUCUGGUAUUAGGGAAGAACAUAUGUGUAAGUAACUGUGCACAUCUUGACGGUACCUAAUCAGAAAGCCACGGCUAACUACGUG
RNAcentral lists this ribosomal RNA (497 nucleotides) under uncultured bacterium. RNAcentral describes it as "partial 16S ribosomal RNA". It matches the Rfam family "Bacterial small subunit ribosomal RNA", at positions 28 to 507 of the family's 1533-position model. The record is from RNAcentral.